Molecule: ribosomal RNA, 468 nt
Filed under: uncultured bacterium
Lineage: Bacteria
Description: partial 16S ribosomal RNA
Rfam family: Bacterial small subunit ribosomal RNA
Source: RNAcentral
GACGAACGCUGGCGGCGUGCUUAACACAUGCAAGUCGAACGGAAAGGCCCUGCUUUUGUGGGGUGCUCGAGUGGCGAACGGGUGAGUAACACGUGAGUAACCUGCCCUUGACUUUGGGAUAACUUCAGGAAACUGGGGCUAAUACCGGAUAGGAGCUCCUGCCGCAUGGUGGGGGUUGGAAAGUUUCGGCGGUUGGGGAUGGACUCGCGGCUUAUCAGCUUGUUGGUGGGGUAGUGGCUUACCAAGGCUUUGACGGGUAGCCGGCCUGAGAGGGUGACCGGCCACAUUGGGACUGAGAUACGGCCCAGACUCCUACGGGAGGCAGCAGUGGGGAAUAUUGCACAAUGGGCGGAAGCCUGAUGCAGCAACGCCGCGUGCGGGAUGACGGCCUUCGGGUUGUAAACCGCUUUCGCCUGUGACGAAGCGUGAGUGACGGUAAUGGGUAAAGAAGCACCGACUAACUACGUG